Molecule: RNA transcript, 2079 nt
Organism: Alosa sapidissima (American shad)
Lineage: Eukaryota; Metazoa; Chordata; Actinopteri; Clupeiformes; Clupeidae
Exons: 4
Source: RefSeq, a predicted model, not a curated record
CGGGUGUAUGUGAGGGACAUCUAAACAUAAGGUCAUGCUGCCAGAAUGAGAGAGACCGAAGUUAACUACUGACAUGGGUCUUGGAAUUGCACCAACAUGAAUGGUAAAAGCAGCAGAACGAUGUCAAUGCGAUUGAUAGCGAUAAACAGGAGCAACAUCUAUCUCUGUUGAUUGGACCUAAAUAUCUACACUGAUUGCAGAGCUACUUUCCACUGGCCGCCUUGUUGAUGCACAAUGAUCCGCUACAGCAAAUUACAGAAGCAAGUUCUGGCAUUGUAUCGAGAGUUCAUGCGCGCUGGAAGGGACAAACCUGGAUUCAUUCCUCGGAUUCGAGAUGAAUUCCGAGAGAAUGCUCGUAUUAAGAAGACCGACGUCAUGCACAUAGAAUACUUAUAUCGGCGCGGACAACGACAGCUCGAACAGCUCAAAGAUGUGAACACCAAACAGCUGGGGUCUUUCUCCGGGAGCAAAGAAAACAGAUGAUGCCAAGUAAAGGCCAAGUGCUGAUAUCUGUCAUGUAUUAUCGAUAAUAGGAUUCAGUUCAUGUAAUAGUUUUCCAGGCCUCAUGGAUCUCCUCUGGACAUCAUUGUGUAAGGUCAUAUAUAUUGUCAGAAGGCUGUCGAAGCCUGUUGUUUGAGCAGAUGGCUCAAAGAUCAGAACCUGUUGCGGCACAAGGUUCAAUACCUGGAUGAACACUGUUGUGAAGGACACUGUCUACAUUACUGAUUGUGUAAUGUAUUUAAAAAUAAAUAAUAAAACAAACACUGCUUUUCUACACCAUUGAUAAUUUGGGCCUACUGGUUGUAACACAGUCUAUGGUUGUAACAGUCACAAAUCUGGUUAAUAUUUUAUGACCAAAAGAUCACAUCCACUUGACACAAAACAAAUAUUGUAAAACAAUAUAAUGUACAUAGAGGUAAGUACCUAUGAAUACAUAUAUAUAGCUAUUGCACAUCCUUGAGUUGAAUUAUGUAAGGUUCAAAUUUGACAUAACUACCAGGGGGGGAAGUUGAGCAAGCAUGGUGAAUGCGCUGCAGCCGGCAGGGGGCAGUAGUUCUGUAAGACGGAGAAAAAUAACCCAAACAGGAAAUAAACAGAACGGUAGACAUUCUCUGACUACCUUGCUAGCUGAGACGGUGGGCGAGGCUGGUACAUUUGUGAUUAAAUAUAGACUAGAAGAAAGCAGUUAGCAGGAUAUUUAGUGCACAAAGAUUAUACCAUGGCAGCUCCAGGAAAUGCUGCGGGCGAGAUGACCAAUGCCCAGCUAAUUCAACAAUUGGCAUUGCUGAACUGGCUGAAGUCUGAUACUACUCAGAGUAAAGACAUACUGACUGCCAUCACCCAACUGCAAGUAGGACGGGAGAUUUUCAACAGAUUGACUGGACAGGGGAAAGUAGAGGCUUACAAGAAAGAGUGCAUUCUGCAGAUUGCUGACUAUGUCCAGAAGAAUCCAAGCGCCUCCCAGAGGCAGCUGAACACUGAGGUGGAGAAGCAGGUCCUGCUGUUUGCUGCCCGAGUGCAGGCCCUGGACUCUGGGUCCCUCCUCUAAGAUCCUCUCUCUCUCUCUCUCUCUCUCUCAAUUCAAUUCAAUUCAAUUCAAUUCAAUUCAGUGAGCUUUAUUGGCAUGACUGUGCAUUGUACAAUAUUGGCAAAGCAUUAACAUCUCUCUCUCUACCUCUACUGUCUCUCUAGCUCUCUCUCUUUCUAUCUACCUCUACUCUCUCUCUCUACUCUCUCUCUCUCUCUUUCUCUUUCUAUCUACCUCUACUCUCUCUCUAGCUCUCUCUACCUCUUCUCUCUCUCUCUCUCCCCCUCUCUUGCCUUACUGGAGGACAGCAACACAAGGAUUUGUCUUUCUCACUUUUUUAACAUUUCAUAAUUUAUAUUGUUUUCGUACCAUUUUAAUGAGAUCUGAUUUAUGGUGUAAUUUUGCAUCUUGUUUUUAUCUUUUUGUAAUAUAGUUAUUGAUUUGAAACUAUGAUACUGGUGUUUUCUUUCAAGCCCGUAUUAGAUAUCAAAUAUGUAAACAAAAACAACAACAAUAAUAAUAUUGUAAAUAAAUAACACUGUUAUACUUCA